CGUACGCUGGCACCAUCGGGCUUGGAAACGGAGCGGCUAUCGCGACAGGGCUUUGGUGACCAAUGCAACAUUUCUGCUUUGGUUCAGUUCUUAUGACAUCCUGAGGUCUAGUAUACUAGUAUACAACUAUGCAUUCAAUGCUUGGCUAGAAGUAUACAGGAGACGCAUCACAACAUUUAGGCAAGAUGAAAAGAGCGAAGGAAAUAGCACAAGGAAAAGAAAACCUGCCCCGCACCUGAGAUCCUCUCUGUAUGGUGGUCCUGCUUCACUUCCUGCGCCUCAGACCCAAGGAAGAGCACUGCUGCAGCGGUGGCGGCAAGAAUGGCGAUGGCGAAGACCUGCCUCAUGUUCAUGCUCGCCGCAAGCCCCUUGGCAGCACCUGUGUCUCCUUCCCAAGCCUCCCCUUGUGUGGCCUCACAUUCUCAUGAGCUAGGUAAUAGUCACAGUGGUAGUUAAAGGUGUAAGGCAAGGAUGAAGCUUUUGUGCCAAUUUUCCUACCAAGAAGCGUUUGGUGGAGAGGUGAAAUGGAGCUUUCCUGGGCUUGCUUCAUUCUUCCUCCUCUCCUGCUGCACACUAACAACAUCACAUAUCAGGAGCAAUAACAGUCAAUGCGUACUUCAAAGGGGGGAGCAGGGUUCUGAUUGGAAAAAUUUCGCGUGGUACUCAUAAGUUGUAACAGCAUUGAGUAGGUAAGUAGGGCCAUUCAGGCAAUGGUGGGGUUUGUAUCCUAUCUCAGUGGGAUGAUGGCUUUGAAAUGACCAGAUCUUGCAGCAAUCAGGAAGCAUGCAACAUCAACGAAGAGGUCACGGAAUGAGUUGGUGAGGCCUAUAAGAAAAUAGCUGAACUGAUAAAGCUGCAUGAGGAGGAAGUACCUCAUACUGCAUGAUUUCUGCCUAAGAAAGAAAAUUCUGGGACCACCCCCCUGCCCUUUUCAAGGCAUCACCGAACAUUCUGACGUUCCGUUGCGGACUCAUGUGCUCUUAUCUUCUUGAAGAGUUCUGUCCACAGAUGACAUACCGCAAAAGAGAGCUAGUCCCAUCUGACAUGCUAGAUGCUACCUUGAGCCAAAUAAGCCGUUUACUUGUAUCCAGUAUGCUUACUAUCUAUAUAUCUUCGGUUGGAAGUAAACUGGCAUCCUUCAUGAAUGACGCGUGUGUGGUCUACAUACAUCAGAACCUAUGUGAAAAAUGCUGAAGUCUGUAGCCUUUUGAUCACAGAACCUGUGAUGUCUGCUUUGUUCGACCGACUGUUGUAAUCACUCACCAGAUUCCUACGACAUGUUCUCUAGAAGGUUGAAAUGUGUCAGUAACUCAGUAUGCAUUCAUACCGAACAGAAGAUAAGGGACAAUGGAAAGGGAACAAGAAAGAAAAGGUAUGCAAUAUACUGUAGUGACUUGGUCAUCUAUCUGUUCCGAUGUAAACUCUGAACGCUGAACCCAUGUACUGAUGUACAAACUCGGAGGAAAGCAGGGCAUCUCAUCCAAACGACCGGGACGGUUAAGGCGUCCCUCUCUGCUUCCCCAGGAGACUUGGAAGGGCAAAAGAUUGCCACACGUAAUCUGUGUCGAGCCUUUCUGAACCAGUGGCAAGGCUAUCAGGAAUCGUCAGCUGGGUGGCCAAGCCUCCUCCAGGUCAUGUCGCCGUCUUCGAAGUCCUUUUUAUUUGCUUGUGCAUGCAGUCCCUUGGCAUGUAAGGGUAAGGAUUAGGAGGCCUGAAUCGGCUAUAAAGGUUCAGACUUGGAGUGGAUAUUUGCGGUCAAGGGGUUGGUGGAGCCCUGGAGGCCUUAAAAAUACCGAUAAAGCGUCUGUCAACCGAUCGACUGUCAACUGGUAGUAGGAAAAAGGGAAAACUAAAUGUUGUAGGAAGUCAAAUUUUCAGAAAUUCGGCCAUGAUGGGAAACUGAGUGUGAGCCUCUGUCGAUUACAGAAAUAUGUCUACAUCAUCUCGUGAGAUGUUUAACCAAGAAUUUAGCCACCAUUUCAAAGA
Long non-coding RNA from Panicum virgatum (switchgrass), 1986 nucleotides. RefSeq lists it as uncharacterized. The transcript has 4 exons. The record is from RefSeq and is a predicted model, not a curated record. Lineage: Eukaryota; Viridiplantae; Streptophyta; Magnoliopsida; Poales; Poaceae.